This 253-nucleotide ribosomal RNA is filed under the name uncultured bacterium. RNAcentral describes it as "partial 16S ribosomal RNA". It matches the Rfam family "Bacterial small subunit ribosomal RNA", at positions 524 to 776 of the family's 1533-position model. The record is from RNAcentral.
UACGUAGGGUGCGAGCGUUGUCCGGAAUUAUUGGGCGUAAAGAGCUUGUAGGCGGUUUGUCGCGUCUGCCGUGAAAAUUCGAGGCUCAACCUCGAACUUGCGGUGGGUACGGGCAGACUAGAGUGUGGUAGGGGAGACUGGAACUCCUGGUGUAGCGGUGAAAUGCGCAGAUAUCAGGAGGAACACCGAUGGCGAAGGCAGGUCUCUGGGCCACUACUGACGCUGAGAAGCGAAAGCAUGGGGAGCGAACAGG